UAACACGUAUCCAACCUGCCGUCUACUCUUGGCCAGCCUUCUGAAAGGAAGAUUAAUCCAGGAUGGCAUCAUGAGUUCACAUGUCCGCAUGAUUAAAGGUAUUUUCCGGUAGACGAUGGGGAUGCGUUCCAUUAGAUAGUAGGCGGGGUAACGGCCCACCUAGUCAACGAUGGAUAGGGGUUCUGAGAGGAUGAACGGCCACAUUGGGACUGAGACACGGCCCAG
RNAcentral lists this ribosomal RNA (225 nucleotides) under uncultured bacterium. RNAcentral's name for it is "partial 16S ribosomal RNA". It matches the Rfam family "Bacterial small subunit ribosomal RNA", at positions 111 to 334 of the family's 1533-position model. The record is from RNAcentral.